UACAGAGGUCCCGAGCGUUAAUCGGAAUUACUGGGCGUAAAGCGCACGUAGGCGGCUUGGUAUGUCGGGUGUGAAAUCCCCGGGCUCAACCUGGGAAUGGCGGUGGAUACUGAGGAGCUAGAGUGCGGUAGAGGAGGGUGGAAUUCCCGGUGUAGCGGUGAAAUGCGUAGAGAUCGGGAGGAACAUCAGUGGCGAAGGCGGCCCUCUGGACCAGCACUGACGCUGAGGCACGAAAGCGUGGGGAGCAAACAGG
This 253-nucleotide ribosomal RNA is filed under the name uncultured bacterium. Its description in RNAcentral is "partial 16S ribosomal RNA". It matches the Rfam family "Bacterial small subunit ribosomal RNA", at positions 524 to 776 of the family's 1533-position model. The record is from RNAcentral.